Non-coding RNA from Podarcis lilfordi (Lilford's wall lizard), 94 nucleotides. Lineage: Eukaryota; Metazoa; Chordata; Lepidosauria; Squamata; Lacertidae. The record is from the annotation of a GenBank genome assembly.
GCCCUUGGUAGCUCAGUUGGUAAAACACGAGACUCUUAAUUUCAAGGUCAUGGGUUCAUGCAUGUUCGGUAAAAGAUUCCUGAAUUGCAGGGUG